GAACGCUGGCGGCGUGCCUAAUACAUGCAAGUCGAGCGAACAGACGAGGAGCUUGCUCCUCUGACGUUAGCGGCGGACGGGUGAGUAACACGUGGAUAACCUACCUAUAAGACUGGGAUAACUUCGGGAAACCGGAGCUAAUACCGGAUAAUAUAUUGAACCGCAUGGUUCAAUAGUGAAAGACGGUUUUGCUGUCACUUAUAGAUGGAUCCGCGCCGCAUUAGCUAGUUGGUAAGGUAACGGCUUACCAAGGCAACGAUGCGUAGCCGACCUGAGAGGGUGAUCGGCCACACUGGAACUGAGACACGGUCCAGACUCCUACGGGAGGCAGCAGUAGGGAAUCUUCCGCAAUGGGCGAAAGCCUGACGGAGCAACGCCGCGUGAGUGAUGAAGGUCUUCGGAUCGUAAAACUCUGUUAUUAGGGAAGAACAAAUGUGUAAGUAACUAUGCACGUCUUGACGGUACCUAAGCAGAAAGCCACGGCUAACUACGU
Molecule: ribosomal RNA, 493 nt
Filed under: uncultured bacterium
Lineage: Bacteria
Description: partial 16S ribosomal RNA
Rfam family: Bacterial small subunit ribosomal RNA
Source: RNAcentral